UUAACUAUAUUUUUAACAAGUAUGGUAAUGCGGCAAGUUCUCACAAAAUUAUGGAGAAAUAUUAGUCCUGCGAUAUAUACAUCAAGUAUAUUAUUUGCACAUUGUACCUCAUUUGACAAGCUUAAUGAAAAUGAGAAGUUGAAACUGGAUCCUCCAGAUAUAAAAAAACUAACCUAUGAGUAUAUGAUAAAACAAUCUGCAUUGGAUGCUGCUAAUAGUGCAACCCAGGCAUUAACUGUCACUUACAUGGCUAUAAUAGAUCUGAGCGUUGCAUACAGAUUAUUGUUAAAUGAACUCAUUUCUCUUCUCGAAGAAACUAUAAUACGCAACGUAAAUGAUGCACACUGGGAUCUGAUUGUGGAAGUACGAAACGAAAUGCAAGACAAGAAAGAGAAGAUUACGCGCUUAGCUACCUAUAUGGAUUAUGUGCAUAAAAUGGCAGUAGCUAGCGCAGAAUUAAGUUAUAUGUGUGGAAUAGACAGUUUGUCCAGUACACUUCAACAGAGGAUAGAGGAUGCGUUAGCUAAAGUAAAAGCAGAAACUGAUAGCAAUACAAAGUUGGAACAAGCAUACUGGCAUAUACAGGAACAGUGCAUCAAAGGCAGUAAAAAAAAAUACUGAAAAACAAUAAAUUUUUAUAGGAAAGAGUUCAACAUUCUCUUUCAAAAAAUCUAUUCCUAUUACAAAAAUCAAGUUUUUAAAAUACAGUAUCAAGACAUAUGUACAUAGAAUAUUUACAGAUGUGCAAGAGCAGCUUCAAACAUCUAAAUGAAUUGAGACAAUAUGUCGACCAGGCACCAUCACCAAGC
Cyphomyrmex costatus is the source of this 809-nucleotide RNA transcript. RefSeq lists it as uncharacterized. The record is from RefSeq and is a predicted model, not a curated record. The transcript has 6 exons. Lineage: Eukaryota; Metazoa; Arthropoda; Insecta; Hymenoptera; Formicidae.